GGCCGCGGGAAUUCGAUUCAGGCCUAACACAUGCAAGUCGAGCGAAUUGACAGAGGUGCUUGCACCUCUCGAUUUUAGCGGCGGACGGGUGAGUAACACGUGGGUAACCUACCUAUAAGACUGGGAUAACUUCGGGAAACCGGAGCUAAUACCGGAUAAUAUUUAGCUUCGCAUGAAGCAAUAGUGAAAGACGGUUCUGCUGUCACUUAUAGAUGGACCUGCGGUGUAUUAGCUAGUUGGUGAGGUAACGGCUCACCAAGGCAACGAUACAUAGCCGACCUGAGAGGGUGAUCGGCCACACUGGGACUGAGACUCGGCCCAGACUCCUACGGGAGGCAGCAGUAGGGAAUCUUCCGCAAUGGACGAAAGUCUGACGGAGCAAGGCCGCGUGAGUGAAGAAGGUUUUCGGAUCGUAAAAUAAAGGGUAAGGGAAGAACAAGUACGUUAGUAACUGAACGUACCUUGACG
Molecule: ribosomal RNA, 468 nt
Filed under: uncultured bacterium
Lineage: Bacteria
Description: bacterial SSU rRNA
Rfam family: Bacterial small subunit ribosomal RNA
Source: RNAcentral